This 107-nucleotide small nuclear RNA is filed under the name Castor canadensis (American beaver). The record is from RNAcentral. Lineage: Eukaryota; Metazoa; Chordata; Mammalia; Rodentia; Castoridae.
GUGCUCAUUUGGGCAGCACACAUACUAAAAUUGAAAUUAUACAGGGACAAUUAGCACAGCCCCUCUGCAAGGAUGACAGGCAAAUUUGUGAAGUGUUACAUAUUUUU